RNAcentral lists this transfer RNA (76 nucleotides) under bioreactor metagenome. Its description in RNAcentral is "tRNA-Glu". It matches the Rfam family "tRNA". From Rfam's summary of the family: Transfer RNA (tRNA) molecules are approximately 80 nucleotides in length. Their secondary structure includes four short double-helical elements and three loops (D, anti-codon, and T loops). Further hydrogen bonds mediate the characteristic L-shaped molecular structure. tRNAs have two regions of fundamental functional importance: the anti-codon, which is responsible for specific mRNA codon recognition, and the 3' end, to which the tRNAs corresponding amino acid is attached (by aminoacyl-tRNA synthetases). tRNAs cope with the degeneracy of the genetic code in two manners: having more than one tRNA (with a specific anti-codon) for a particular amino acid; and 'wobble' base-pairing, i.e. permitting non-standard base-pairing at the 3rd anti-codon position. The record is from RNAcentral.
GGUCCGUUGGUGAAGCGGUUAACACACCAGAUUCUCAAUCUGGCAUCCACGGGUUCAAGCCCCGUACGGACUACCA